UUACGAACAUAUCACGUUGAAACACCAGUUCUCGUACGAUCGCGGAAGUCAAGCAACGUCGAGCUUGGUCAGUACCUAGAUGGGUGACCGCUUGGGAAUAGCAGGUGCUC
This is a non-coding RNA of Acanthosepion pharaonis, 110 nucleotides long. NCBI's taxonomy places the organism in Eukaryota, Metazoa, Mollusca, Cephalopoda, Sepiida, Sepiidae. The record is from the annotation of a GenBank genome assembly.